RNAcentral lists this ribosomal RNA (328 nucleotides) under uncultured bacterium. RNAcentral describes it as "bacterial SSU rRNA". It matches the Rfam family "Bacterial small subunit ribosomal RNA", at positions 568 to 898 of the family's 1533-position model. The record is from RNAcentral.
CGCGUAGGUGGUAGUGUAAGUCUGGGGUGGAAUCCCAGGGCUUAACCCUGGAACUGCCUUGGAAACUGCAUUACUUGAGUCAGUGAGGGGAGGGUAGAAUUCCUGGUGUAGCGGUGAAAUGCGUAGAUAUCAGGAGGAAGGCCUGUGGCGAAGGCGGCCCUCUGGCGCUGGACUGACACUGAGGCGCGAAAGCGUGGGGAGCAAACAGGAUUAGAUACCCUGGUAGUCCACGCCCUAAACGGUGGGCACUAGGUGUAGGGCUCGUAAGGGUUCUGUGCCGAAGGGAACCAUUAAGUGCCCCGCUGGGGAGUACGGCCGCAAGGUUGAA